CGCUCGCCAGGCUCCCUCCGGCUGCCGCCGGCCCGCCGGUCCCUGCUUAGCUCCCUGGCGUGGCUGCUGAACCUGCCGGCCCGCAGCCUUCGAGGUGGCCUGUCCUUCCAGGGCUGAGAGUUCGAGGUCAGACCUCAACGUUGACCCAUCCUCCCUCAGCCUGAGCCAGAAUACACCCCUCCUUGACAGCCCACCUGACAAUAGGCUGGCCACCAGGAGGUGUCGAAUUUCACAUGCUGAUAUACAAGUGAAAAUUCCAUCGGAGCCUCAAUAAAGUAGAAGGGAAACAUUCUUCAGAAGAUUGACUAUGAAAAAAAGUAAUAAACAUGGCAGUAGUGAAAGUAUAAAGGUUUUCUCACGACAGAAGAGCUUUGUACUUAUUUAAAAUCAGAUGGCAAGGAGACAGAUGGCGAGAGAUUAAAGACAGUGAAGAAGGGAAAGGAAAUAGGACGUUAAUUUUUUUUCUGAGACAACAUGAAAGAAUGAAAGAAAGUAAAUUGAAACAUGAGAAUGUAGAGGCAAAUGAGUAAGAAACAGAAAAUCAUUGUUUAUUUAUACCUCCUCUAUUUUCUAAAAGAAUUUGAAAGAGCUUAGAAAAGAGGACACCGGAAUAAUAAAGUUAAUAAACAGAAGAAAGACCAGGACUCAAAAAGGAGGAAGAAGCAAACAUGAUCACCAUGAGAGCUGAUAGAGCUGGGUGAUUGAGUGUCAAAUUUGGCUCCAAAGUUUUUGGCAAUUGGAGCAAAGGGGAAAUGUGAUAUGUUUCCAGGUACCUCCUGCUGCAUAACAAACCACCUCAAAACUGUGACUUAGAAUAUUAACAAUCAUUUAUUAUUAUGUCUCGUGGUUCUGUGAGUUGAACUGGCGUAUAGUUCAGCAGGGAGGUUCUGGCUCUUGAUCUGUCACGCAGUUCUGGUCAGUGGCUGGGGCUUGAGUUGUCUGAAGACGAGCUCAUUCACAUGUCUGGAAAGUCGCAUGGGCUGGAAAGACUCAAACAACAGGGCUCAAAUGCUGGGGCUUUCAAGCAUCUGUGUUUCUGUGUGUUCUCUCUAGCAUGGUAACUUCAAGGUAAUUCCAAAGAUACAUGCAAGCAGAAGCUGUAUUCCCUUUAUGACCUACCCUUGGAAGUCACUCAGCAUCACUCCCUCUGCAGUUCUUUAGAAGCAAGUCUCUAAGGCUGAUCUAUGUUCAAGGGGAGGGGAAUGAGUUCCCUUUUUGAAGAAAGGAACUGCUAAAUAAUCUGUAACAUAUUUUAAAACUACCACAGGAUAUAACAGAUUUCUCAUUGUCAAAAUGGUAACAAUGUAUCACUUGUCCAAGCUUGCACCUGAUGUCCGUCUUGUGAUUUAGAUGACGUAAGGGGGAGGAUCAUUAAGCGUGAGAGUAGAGAUGAACAGAUGGUGAGAUUAAGGAGAACGGUGUGUGUUUAGAAUAUCUCUUCAUAGAAGCAUAUAAUCCCAGCAUUGCAGAGCCUUGCUUCUCAAAGUGUAGUCUAAGACCAGCAGCAUCUGCACAAUGAGAGUUUGUUAGAAAUGCAGAAUCUUGGCCCCAACCUCAGACCUACUGAAUCAGAAUUGCAUUUUAGCAAGACCACACAGGGGAUUCCUGUGCAUAAUAAAGUUUGAAAAGCACUGGUUAAGAGGCCAAAUCAAAUUCUUGGGUAGUGGGGAGGGACAAAUUGUUGCUGUGUACACACUUAGAGCAGGCUGUGUGUCCUCCUUUAUGGGACAAAACAGAAUAUGAGUGGGAUAAGGCAGUUACUAAAUAGUGGAGUCCUCUGAGAUUGAGAAUUCCAUACAUUCAUUGACGAGGACAUCUAGGAUGGGUGUUCGAUACUUAGGUGGAAUUGAAAUAGAAAUAAGAACUAAGUGGUUUGGGGAAAGGGUGCAGUUAUGGAGGAUGAAGGUUGGAAUAAGGCUGGAGAGCUGAUAUU
Equus caballus (horse) is the source of this 1933-nucleotide long non-coding RNA. RefSeq lists it as uncharacterized. The record is from RefSeq and is a predicted model, not a curated record. Lineage: Eukaryota; Metazoa; Chordata; Mammalia; Perissodactyla; Equidae.